UUGACGACACAAAAACAAAACAAAAAC
This 27-nucleotide small RNA is filed under the name Arabidopsis thaliana (thale cress). RNAcentral describes it as "ATSL101570". Lineage: Eukaryota; Viridiplantae; Streptophyta; Magnoliopsida; Brassicales; Brassicaceae. The record is from RNAcentral.